UCUAUAUAAGAUACAUUCCCUCACUCACACACAGAGAUUUUUCCAUCAAGAUUUACUGCACAGAAACCAUUCUCUCUUCUGCUGAAAACUAGGUUUCAAACUUUGAGAAAAACUUUCCUCUUUUAUUUUUUUCUGAAAAGCUGAAAAUUGAUUGAAGUAGACGAAUUUCUAUUUUUCUUCUUGAGUUGAAAUCUCUGGGGUUUUUGGAAGUUAAAUUUGGGUUCUGAUUUGGUGAUUGUCUGCUGCUUGCUGUUGAUCACUAUCGUUUAAGAAGAAUUAGUUUCUUUUCCCUUGACCUUCAUUUGGUCUUUUUUGAAUUAUCUCUAGGUAUAUAAUCAAGUUUUGGCUAUGAAAAUUACUCUAUUUGUGCAAUCUGAAUUUAUUCAUAACUAUGUGUGUAUGGAUGCAUAGGUUAAUAGUAGGAAUUAAAUGUAUUUUUCCAUUAAUUUAUGUAAGCUUUUUAUGUGUUUUUGUGCAUUUCAGUAUGUAGAAAGUAAUGUUAAAAUAGCAUAAGUAACUACAUCUUAUGACAGCAUUUAGGUUAGUUUAUAGUGCUUUCUUUCUCUUCUCCAUCUGAUUUUUUUAUUCAAAAAAAAUAUUGCUUUCAUUUGUCUUUUGAAUGCUUAGUCACAAGCUGUAGCGUAUUGGUUUAACCGCCAGUUGUUCGGAUUGCUUGGCUCUGAAAGCUUAUAAGGAGGGAUCUAAAUGUGUAGGAAAUGAGAUACUAGGAUUCUGAGUUGGACCUAUAAUGAUUUAUAUGUUUAACCUUCAAUAUGGUUAAACUCAUGAACAAUCAUCUUCUUUUAUUGUUAUUGCACUCUUAAGUUUUAACUUAGGUAUGUCAAGGUAGUAUGGUUGAAGUAAUCAUGUGAAUAUGACCUUCUCCCAUGAUCAGAUCCAUGAGAUGCUUAGAAAAUAAUGAUAAUUCAGCAACAAGAAGUGCAUAUUGGGAACCUGAGAAAACAACUUUAUAAGAAGCAUCUCUACAUCUGGAUUCUUGCGGAUUGGUUGCUUUGGAUUCGAAGAAGUGAUGAAAUGGAAUUCUAGAAUCAGUAGAAGUCCUCAUUUUACUGUAUUUUUAUUUCUUUAGAACCUCUUGGAUGUCAGCUGUUAAUAUGCUGAUUCUCGAAGAGUUAAAACAUUAUUAUAUAUUUUUAAGAUUUGCAAAUGUUUAAGUGGACUGUUAUAAUUUUUUUAAGAUAGUAUAAUGAGAUAGCUGUUAGAUUGGUUCAUAUAUGUCUUUGUUUGAGAAAUUCAAACUCUAUUUGGUUUAGGAAUUGGAAACUAAAAUCAAGGUUAAUUCGUGAAUAAACUAAGUUACAACUAUCAUGCUUAGUGUUGCCCACUGAGUUUUGAAUGCAUGGCCGAGUAGAUCAGGG
This 1379-nucleotide long non-coding RNA is filed under the name Nicotiana benthamiana. RNAcentral describes it as "long non-coding RNA (NBEN_LNC033744)". The record is from RNAcentral. Lineage: Eukaryota; Viridiplantae; Streptophyta; Magnoliopsida; Solanales; Solanaceae.